RNAcentral lists this long non-coding RNA (1192 nucleotides) under Capsella rubella. RNAcentral describes it as "long non-coding RNA (CRUB_LNC004570)". Lineage: Eukaryota; Viridiplantae; Streptophyta; Magnoliopsida; Brassicales; Brassicaceae. The record is from RNAcentral.
AAAAACAAAAAAAAAUCAUCAUGACGAAUGAGUUCCCGUUGGGGGCUCAAAUCAAUGGUUUUGGCUAAAUCUCAAAUUAACUCGGUAGCCGAGUGAUCUGAACGAGGAGCGACAACAUUGAUGACUUGGAGGGUUGAGAAGCUUUCUUCAGCUGGUCCACGUGAGGCACGUGCGAGGAUAUCAACGUCAGAGAAAAGACACCUUCGAGAAACAGAGACCACCUUUCCCACGCGGCAAUUAUAUGUACAAAGGUAUAUGAAUUUAGCGAAUUGAUAUUUAAUUAACAAAGCAAUCACAGAAGCACAAUCGUUGCAUUGGUAUUAGCGCUUCUCUUUCUCUUGUGGGCAAAUUUUAGAUCUAGAGUUUUAUUCUUCCUUCCUUUUUUCCGAUCAGUGCUUCAUCUUUGGCCAAGGUCAAUCGAUUGAGAUCCAUGGGUGAGCAGCUCCUCUUCUCUGUCUGCGGUGGUGUGGUAGCCCCUUCGAUGUUGUCGUGGCUGUGGUGGUGCGAUUGGAGUUCUUUGUAGCGGUGGUUCCCGUUUUUGAAGACGGCGGGGAUGCUUCAGAGUUCUUCUUGGCUCAGUCGCCUCUUCUAUGAGCUGGGACAACGGCGGAAAUCGGUGGGGGUUAGGAGGGUUUCGCGUUUUGAUGUGGGAGUUAGCGGUAGAUCUGUAUGAUCUUAGAUGGCUGAUGCGGGUUAUUGGUUGCAGAUGGUUUGGUUUGAGCCGCCGCUUUCUGUUUUUGCCGUGUUUGGUAUCUCUCCGUCCAGAUCGAGGAAGAGUUUGCUCGGAUCUCGGUAAACUGCGGUGAAGGAAAGAGAAGGUUAGAUCUGAGAGUGGCGGAUUGCUAGGUUGGGAUCUGCCACCGUGGAACCGUGUUGUCGGGGUGACUAGCUUUCCGGGAGACUUGUGGUGGGUCUGGUGCGGCGGAGGAAAGGGAUCAAAGAUGGAAACCGGUCUCUUUCGUCCAUGGUUUUCGAUCCUUCGUCGUGGCCGCAAAGCUGUGAUUCUUGAGCCCGCCGGAUCUCAGGCUCCGGUCACUCUGCCUCCGGCGAUCAACAGGAUCCGAGUUCUCUUUUUUCACCGUUAGUUUUUUCCGAUUUUCUUUGCUUAAUGGAUCACAAUCGUGUAAGGCCUGGCCCAGGCUAUUUGGGUUUAUUCGAAUUUUAUAAAUAAAUAUUAUAAAUAUAAAAAAAA